UGAAAUGUGUGGUCACGCGCUUUUAAAAGCGGGUGAAUACACUGGGUUUGAUUAAAAAAAUACUAAAAUCAAAAGAAACAAUAAUUAUCUCUAUACAAACCAAAGUGAAAAUUUUCUCAUUCCCCAAAUCUGCACAAAGAACAAAUAUAUGAACUAUUGUCAAAGUAAUACAGAAACAACAGAAUUAGAAGGAAGAGCAAGUAUUCAAGCGAAAUUAAAUUCCGGCCAAAUUUUUUACUAAGAUCUGAUAGUUUGCCUAAGUUUAUUUGGGGUUUAAUAACAUAAAAGGAAGAGCGGAAGUCGCCGACAAAUGUUGUGGUGGAAUGAAGGUCCCGGAAAAGUUAUAUUUUCGGCCAGAUCUAAUUUAUUCGGCUCCAGACCUGUAAAAAACUAACAAACAGUUAGAGAAAAUAAAAUAGGGGGGAAGGGACGAUGAAGAAGAGAAACGACAGAGAUGAGGAGUGAAGCAACAGUCACCGGAUUCUAAGGUGGGGGUGAGUUUAUCUGCGUUCGAGCUCCCAAAAAGAGUUUUAUGCUUGGGAAAAAUCAUGAUAUGAUUUUGUGCAUUUCGUAAUGGGUUUUAUAGGAAUUGUAGGAAGAAAAAGAGAGAGUAUGAUUGCUCAUCGUGGGAGAAGCCAUGAAAGGUGCUGGGUUAAUCUUGAAAGAUGAAGAACAUAUGAAGAAUUGGUUUUUUGGGGGGGGGGGG
RNAcentral lists this long non-coding RNA (706 nucleotides) under Nicotiana tabacum (common tobacco). Its description in RNAcentral is "long non-coding RNA (NTAB_LNC015865)". The record is from RNAcentral. Lineage: Eukaryota; Viridiplantae; Streptophyta; Magnoliopsida; Solanales; Solanaceae.